UCCGUUAUGGUGUAUCGGCUAGCAUCCGUCGCUUUCAUCUUGCCUCACAGCAUAAUGUCAGCUACCGACGAGAGCCGGGUUCGACUCCCGGUAACGGAA
RNAcentral lists this transfer RNA (99 nucleotides) under Periconia digitata. Its description in RNAcentral is "tRNA-Glu". The record is from RNAcentral. Lineage: Eukaryota; Fungi; Ascomycota; Dothideomycetes; Pleosporales; Periconiaceae.